GGUGAGAUGGCCGAGCGGUCUAAGGCGCCAGACUAAGGAGACCAGCGUGUUUGACGCGCAGCUGUAUCUGGUCCGAAAGGGCGUGGGUUCGAAUCCCACUCUCAUCA
Molecule: transfer RNA, 107 nt
Filed under: Collybiopsis luxurians FD-317 M1
Lineage: Eukaryota; Fungi; Basidiomycota; Agaricomycetes; Agaricales; Omphalotaceae
Description: Gymnopus luxurians FD-317 M1 tRNA
Rfam family: tRNA
About the family: Transfer RNA (tRNA) molecules are approximately 80 nucleotides in length.
Source: Rfam by way of RNAcentral